AGGGCACCACCAGGAGUGGAGCCUGCGGCUUAAUUUGACUCAACACGGGAAAUCUCACCAGGCCCGGACACCGGAAGGAUUGACAGAUUGAGAGCUCUUUCUUGAUUCGGUGGGUGGUGGUGCAUGGCCGUUCUUAGUUGGUGGAGCGAUUUGUCUGGUUAAUUCCGAUAACGAACGAGACUCUGGCCUACUAACUAGAUGGAGGACCCCUUCGUGGGUUCUUCACUGCUUCUUAGAGGGACGGGCGGCGUUUAGCCGCACGAGAUUGAGCAAUAACAGGUCUGUGAUGCCCUUAGAUGUUCUGGGCUGCACGCGCGCUACACUGAAGGAAUCAGCGUGUCCUCCCCGCUCUGAAAAGAGUGGGUAACCCGUUGAAACUCCUUCGUGAUGGGGAUUGGAGAUUGUAAUUAUUCUCCAUGAACGAGGAAUUCCCAGUAGGCGCGAGUCAUCAGCUUGCGUCGAUUACGUCCCUGCCCUUUGUACACACCGCCCGUCGCUACUACCGAUCGAGUGAUUUAG
Molecule: ribosomal RNA, 519 nt
Filed under: uncultured eukaryote
Lineage: Eukaryota
Description: SSU rRNA
Rfam family: Eukaryotic small subunit ribosomal RNA
Source: RNAcentral